This 102-nucleotide Y RNA is filed under the name Prolemur simus (greater bamboo lemur). RNAcentral's name for it is "Y RNA (ENSPSMG00000021604.1)". It matches the Rfam family "Y RNA". From Rfam's summary of the family: Y RNAs are components of the Ro ribonucleoprotein particle (Ro RNP), in association with Ro60 and La proteins. The Y RNAs and Ro60 and La proteins are well conserved, but the function of the Ro RNP is not known. In humans the RNA component can be one of four small RNAs -- hY1, hY3, hY4 and hY5. The record is from Rfam by way of RNAcentral. Lineage: Eukaryota; Metazoa; Chordata; Mammalia; Primates; Lemuridae.
AGUUGGUCUGAUGGUAGUGGAUUAUCAGAAUUUAUUAACAUAAGUGUCACUAAAGUUGGUAUACCACCACCACCCCCCACUGCUAAAUUUGGCUAAAUAAUU